Molecule: ribosomal RNA, 830 nt
Filed under: uncultured Actinomycetes bacterium
Lineage: Bacteria; Bacillati; Actinomycetota; Actinomycetes
Description: bacterial SSU rRNA
Rfam family: Bacterial small subunit ribosomal RNA
Source: RNAcentral
AGUCGACGAUGAAGUGGAGCUUGCUCCCGGAUUAGCGGCGAACGGGUGAGGAACACGUGAGAAACCUGCCUCGGAUUUUGGGAUAACAAAUGGAAACGUUUGCUAAUACCAAAUAACGUCGGAGAGUCACAUGACUUUCUGACGAAAGGAAUUCCGAUUCGAGAGGGUCUCGCGGCCUAUCAGCUAGUUGGCGGGGUAAUGGCCCACCAAGGCAACGACGGGUAGCUGGUCUGAGAGGAUGGUCAGCCACACUGGGACUGAGACACGGCCCAGACUCCUACGGGAGGCAGCAGUGGGGAAUCUUGCGCAAUGGGCGAAAGCCUGACGCAGCAACGCCGCGUGCGGGAAGAAGGCUUUCGGGCUGUAAACCGCUUUCAGCAGGAACGAAAAUGACGGUACCUGCAGAAGAAGGAGCGGCCAACUAUGUGCCAGCAGCCGCGGUGAUACAUAGGCUUCAAGCGUUGUCCGGAUUUAUUGGGCGUAAAGAGUUCGUAGGCGGUCGAGUAAGUCGGGUGUGAAAAUUCUGGGCUUAACCCAGAGACGCCACCCGAUACUGCUUAACUUGAGUUCGAUAGGGGAGUGGGGAAUUCCUAGUGUAGCGGUGAAAUGCGCAGAUAUUAGGAGGAACACCGGUGGCGAAGGCGCCACUCUGGAUCGAAACUGACGCUGAGGAACGAAAGCAUGGGUAGCAAACAGGAUUAGAUACCCUGGUAGUCCAUGCCGUAAACGGUGGGCACUAGGUGUGGGAUUCUAUUAACGAAUUCCGCGCCGUCGCUAACGCAUUAAGUGCCCCGCCUGGGGAGUACGGUCGCAAGACUAAAACUCAAAGG